RNAcentral lists this ribosomal RNA (459 nucleotides) under uncultured bacterium. RNAcentral describes it as "partial 16S ribosomal RNA". It matches the Rfam family "Bacterial small subunit ribosomal RNA", at positions 29 to 523 of the family's 1533-position model. The record is from RNAcentral.
AACGAACGCUGGCGGCAGGCCUAACACAUGCAAGUCGAACGAGAAGCCACCUUCGGGUGGUGGACAGUGGCAGACGGGUGAGUAACGCGUGGGAACGUGCCUUUCGGUUCGGGAUAACCCAGGGAAACUUGGGCUAAUACCGGAUACGCCCUUCGGGGGAAAGAUUCAUUGCCGAAAGAUCGGCCCGCGUCGGAUUAGCUAGUUGGUAGGGUAAUGGCCUACCAAGGCGACGAUCCGUAGCUGGUCUGAGAGGAUGACCAGCCACACUGGGACUGAGACACGGCCCAGACUCCUACGGGAGGCAGCAGUGGGGAAUAUUGGACAAUGGGCGAAAGCCUGAUCCAGCCAUGCCGCGUGGGUGAAGAAGGCCUUAGGGUUGUAAACCCCUUUCAGCGGGGAAGAUAAUGACGGUACCCGCAGAAGAAGUCCCGGCUAACUCCGUGCCAGCCGCCGCAGUAA